CCGCCCUUAGCUCAGUUGGAUAGAGCAACGGCCUUCUAAGCCGUAGGCCGCAGGUUCGAAUCCUGCAGGGCGGG
This is a non-coding RNA of Burkholderia latens, 74 nucleotides long. The record is from Rfam. NCBI's taxonomy places the organism in Bacteria, Pseudomonadati, Pseudomonadota, Betaproteobacteria, Burkholderiales, Burkholderiaceae.